CCUACGGGGGGCAGCAGUGGGGAAUAUUGCACAAUGGGGGAAACCCUGAUGCAGCGACGCCGCGUGAAGGAAGAAGUAUUUCGGUAUGUAAACUUCUAUCAGCAGGGAAGAAAGUGACGGUACCUGACUAAGAAGCCCCGGCUAACUACGUGCCAGCAGCCGCGGUAAUACGUAGGGGGCAAGCGUUAUCCGGAUGUACUGGGUGUAAAGGGAGCGUAGGCGGCGAUGCAAGUCAGAAGUGAAAGCCCGGGGCUCAACUCCGGGACUGCUUUUGAAACUGUAUGGCUAGAUUGCAGGAGAGGCAUGUGGCAUUCCUAGUGUAGCGGUGACAGGCGUAGAUAUUAGGAGGAACACCAGUGGCGAAGGCGGCUUGCUGGACUGUAAAUGACGCUGAGGCUCGAAAGCGUGGGGAGCAAACAGGAUUAGAUACCCGUGUAGUC
This 440-nucleotide ribosomal RNA is filed under the name uncultured bacterium. RNAcentral describes it as "partial 16S ribosomal RNA". It matches the Rfam family "Bacterial small subunit ribosomal RNA", at positions 338 to 795 of the family's 1533-position model. The record is from RNAcentral.